Molecule: ribosomal RNA, 518 nt
Filed under: uncultured Pseudomonadota bacterium
Lineage: Bacteria; Pseudomonadati; Pseudomonadota
Description: bacterial SSU rRNA
Rfam family: Bacterial small subunit ribosomal RNA
Source: RNAcentral
AGAGUUUGAUCCUGGCUCAGAUUGAACGCUGGCGGAAUGCUUUACACAUGCAAGUCGAGCGGCAGCGCGGUCUUCGGACUGGCGGCGAGCGGCGAACGGGUGAGUAAUACAUCGGAACAUGCCCAGUUGUGGGGGAUAACACUUCGAAAGAAGUGCUAAUACCGCAUACGUCCUGAGGGAGAAAGCGGGGGAUCGCAAGACCUCGCGCGAUUGGAGUGGCCGAUGUCAGAUUAGCUAGUUGGUGGGGUAAAGGCCUACCAAGGCAACGAUCUGUAGCUGGUCUGAGAGGAUGAUCAGCCACACUGGGACUGAGACACGGCCCAGACUCCUACGGGAGGCAGCAGUGGGGAAUUUUGGACAAUGGGGGCAACCCUGAUCCAGCCAUUCCGCGUGAGUGAAGAAGGCCUUCGGGUUGUAAAGCUCUUUCGGCAGGAACGAAACGGUGAGCUCUAACAUAGCUCGCUAAUGACGGCACCUGAAGAAGAAGCACCGGCUAACUACGUGCCAGCAGCCGCGGU